RNAcentral lists this ribosomal RNA (281 nucleotides) under uncultured prokaryote. RNAcentral's name for it is "partial 16S ribosomal RNA". It matches the Rfam family "Bacterial small subunit ribosomal RNA", at positions 524 to 803 of the family's 1533-position model. The record is from RNAcentral.
UACGUAGGGGGCUAGCGUUAUCCGGAAUUACUGGGCGUAAAGGGUGCGUAGGUGGUUUCUUAAGUCAGAGGUGAAAGGCUACGGCUCAACCGUAGUAAGCCUUUGAAACUGGGAAACUUGAGUGCAGGAGAGGAGAGUGGAAUUCCUAGUGUAGCGGUGAAAUGCGUAGAUACUAGGAGGAACACCAGUUGCGAAGGCGGCUCUCUGGACUGUAACUGACACUGAGGCACGAAAGCGUGGGGAGCAAACAGGAUUAGAUACCCGCGUAGUCCCUGAGCGGG